AUGUGGAUGUCUGAGCUCAUAUCAGGUGUCUGAAAGAGGCAGAUUCUGAGGAUUUGGGUCAUGAUGGCUGCCAAAGCUUCUGCUCCUGACUUAAAGGGCAACAAUCCUAGGAGACCACCAGCACUUACAUCCCUGGUAGGACAUGACACCUGCUUAUGGCUCAGAAGUGACAAAAGAGAAUUAUCAGGAUGGCAGUCCUUAUAACCAGAUGCUUAUCAACAUUCUUCACUACAUUCUGAAGAUGAAUUUCUACAAGGGAAAUUGUUUAUGGAGGCAGCAGAUGGCUGAAAUUCUGAUCUGAUGUGGCUGGUUAAUGCAUGAUCUGAAAACCCCUGCACUGGUGAUUUUGGGACAGAUCUAGAAUAUACCAAUAAAUAUAUUAACAUACCAAGUAGUCUAGGAGCAGCCACUGGGCGAACACCAAACCUUGCAUCCCUGGUGCUGUCUCUGAGCUCAGCAGACACGUCUUUGCAGAAGAGUUCUAUAAUGGUGGUACAAUGGCGCCCCCUCGUGACAGAAGCUUGAACUACAGCUUGAACUUCGUGUGACAUGAUGAAUGAAUUUAUUGAGCCCCAGGAAGAAGGAAAAUUAAAGAAGAGCAAAGAAUAAUAGCUGGACAGAAGAUGGGGGUCAUUGAACCUAUAUCCUAGUUGCCAGACCAGUAAACUGACCACGGGACCUGGGGGAGGCAGCAGAUGACCGAAAACCUGGAGUGAUGUGGCUGAAUACCGCAUGAUCUGAAGACUGCACUGGUGGCUGCGGUAUGGGUCCAAAUUUUUCCUUAACAAAA
RNAcentral lists this long non-coding RNA (790 nucleotides) under Pan troglodytes (chimpanzee). RNAcentral's name for it is "long non-coding RNA NONPTRT018330". Lineage: Eukaryota; Metazoa; Chordata; Mammalia; Primates; Hominidae. The record is from RNAcentral.